RNAcentral lists this ribosomal RNA (420 nucleotides) under uncultured bacterium. Its description in RNAcentral is "bacterial SSU rRNA". It matches the Rfam family "Bacterial small subunit ribosomal RNA", at positions 356 to 774 of the family's 1533-position model. The record is from RNAcentral.
GGGGAAUUUUGGACAAUGGACGCAAGUCUGAUCCAGCCAUGCCGCGUGCGGGAAGAAGGCCUUCGGGUUGUAAACCGCUUUUAUUCGGGAAUAAACCUAUCUACGUGUAGAUAGCUGCAUGUACCGAAGGAAUAAGGAUCGGCUAACUACGUGCCAGCAGCCGCGGUAAUACGCAGGGUGCAAGCGUUAAUCGGAAUUACUGGGCGUAAAGCGUGCGUGGGCGGUUAUGCAAGACAGAGGUGAAAUCCCCGGGCUCAACCUGGGAACUGCCUUUGUGACUGCAUAGCUAGAGUACGGUAGAGGGGGAUGGAAUUCCGCGUGUAGCAGUGAAAUGCGUAGAUAUGCGGAGGAACACCGAUGGCGAAGGCAAUCCCCUGGACCUGUACUGACGCUCAUGCACGAAAGCGUGGGGAGCAAACA